ACAUCCCGACUCGCACUCUCUGGAAACAGAGAGGUCAGUUCGGCUGGAUCGGUGGACAGGUGCUGCAUGGCUGUCGUCAGCUCGUGUCGUGAGAUGUUGGGUUAAGUCCCGCAACGAGCGCAACCCUCGUCCUUAGUUGCCAGCAUUAAGUUGGGCACUCUAAGGAGACUGCCGGUGUUAAACCGGAGGAAGGCGGGGAUGACGUCAAGUCCUCAUGGCCCUUAUGUCCAGGGCUACACACGUGCUACAAUGGCCGGUACAAAGGGUAGCAAGACCGCGAGGUGGAGCCAAUCCCAAAAAGCCGGUCUCAGUUCGGAUUGGAGUCUGCAACUCGACUCCAUGAAGUUGGAAUCGCUAGUAAUCGUGGAUCAGCAUGCCACGGUGAAUACGUUCCCGGGCCUU
Molecule: ribosomal RNA, 402 nt
Filed under: uncultured Desulfuromonas sp.
Lineage: Bacteria; Pseudomonadati; Thermodesulfobacteriota; Desulfuromonadia; Desulfuromonadales; Desulfuromonadaceae
Description: bacterial SSU rRNA
Rfam family: Bacterial small subunit ribosomal RNA
Source: RNAcentral